This 496-nucleotide ribosomal RNA is filed under the name uncultured bacterium. Its description in RNAcentral is "partial 16S ribosomal RNA". It matches the Rfam family "Bacterial small subunit ribosomal RNA", at positions 29 to 507 of the family's 1533-position model. The record is from RNAcentral.
AUGAACGCUGGCGGCGUGCCUAAUACAUGCAAGUCGAGCGAACAGAUGAGGAGCUUGCUCCUCUGACGUUAGCGGCGGACGGGUGAGUAACACGUGGAUAACCUACCUAUAAGACUGGGAUAACUUCGGGAAACCGGAGCUAAUACCGGAUAAUAUAUUGAACCGCAUGGUUCAAUAGUGAAAGACGGUUUUGCUGUCACUUAUAGAUGGAUCCGCGCCGCAUUAGCUAGUUGGUAAGGUAACGGCUUACCAAGGCAACGAUGCGUAGCCGACCUGAGAGGGUGAUCGGCCACGCUGGAACUGAGACACGGUCCAGACUCCUACGGGAGGCAGCAGUAGGGAAUCUUCCGCAAUGGGCGAAAGCCUGACGGAGCAACGCCGCGUGAGUGAUGAAGGUCUUCGGAUCGUAAAACUCUGUUAUUAGGGAAGAACAAAUGUGUAAGUAACUAUGCACGUCUUGACGGUACCUAAUCAGAAAGCCACGGCUAACUACGUG